ACGUAGGUGGCAAGCGUUGUCCGGAAUUAUUGGGCGUAAAGCGCGCGCAGGCGGUCCUUUAAGUCUGAUGUGAAAUCCCGCAGCUCAACUGCGGAACUGCCUUUGAUACUGGGUAUCUUGAGUAUGGAAGAGGUAAGUGGAAUUCCGAGUGUAGAGGUGAAAUUCGUAGAUAUUCGGAGGAACACCAGUGGCGAAGGCGACUGUCUGGGGAGCAACUGACGCUGAGGCGCGAAAGCUGGGGGAGCAACGGGA
RNAcentral lists this ribosomal RNA (252 nucleotides) under uncultured prokaryote. RNAcentral's name for it is "partial 16S ribosomal RNA". It matches the Rfam family "Bacterial small subunit ribosomal RNA", at positions 525 to 777 of the family's 1533-position model. The record is from RNAcentral.